UUCUUGAGCUAGAUUUUCUCAUUCAUUCUGCAUCUUCUUUCUUUUAUUUUCCUUUUCUACAAUUUAUAGUUUUGGGAGCUUCUGUUGUGUAUUUCCCAUAUGCUUUGGUAGUGCUACUUAGCUCCUUUUUAAUUUAUAAUGUUUUGAAAAAGUAUUUAAUGCUAAGAUUUUGAUAUUUUAAAAGGAAAAAAAAGUUGUUGCACCAUUGCAUAGCUUGUAUCUUAAUGUUUUUAAAUUUUAGCACACACUUUGCCUUAGAAUAAAAGGUGCACACGGCCUAGCGUUGUUAAAUAAUUCCACCUAUGUAGAUUUACUUCUGAAGCUGAAUUGUUCAUUCCCUCUAAUAUGGGAAGUUGAUGGCAAUUUUUCUCAUUUUCAGCUGUAUAGUGAUAGCAGUGUCACCUUUUCAACAAUAAGUGCAAAUUCUUAACUCUUCUUUCAAGAGGUUUCAUUGGUGGGAUGUUAACCACUUAACAAUUUAAUCAUGCACUUGCAGGUUGUUAAUUUAAAGAAUCGUGG
Molecule: unclassified non-coding RNA, 519 nt
Filed under: Hevea brasiliensis (rubber tree)
Lineage: Eukaryota; Viridiplantae; Streptophyta; Magnoliopsida; Malpighiales; Euphorbiaceae
Source: RNAcentral